This 10226-nucleotide long non-coding RNA is filed under the name Vitis vinifera (wine grape). Its description in RNAcentral is "long non-coding RNA (VVIN_LNC007177)". The record is from RNAcentral. Lineage: Eukaryota; Viridiplantae; Streptophyta; Magnoliopsida; Vitales; Vitaceae.
CCACAACCAAACAACAUCUAUUAAAAGUCAAUAAUGCCUAACAUGAAUUUGUUUAGCAAGAAUGGAAAUAAAGAGGCUUGUCUGAGUCAAAUGUGAAAAACAAGUUCACCAUCAUAAGUUUCACACAUAUACCAGGGUCUUGAUGCAACAGUAUGGCCAUUGUUACUCUAAUCAAUGAAGGAAAACAUCCACCAAGGAAAAUGAAUUCCUUUAUAAAAUUUGAGUUUCUUCUAUACUCAUCGUGCCUUUCAACUGGGAUUGAUAUGAAUUAAGGAAAAAAGAAAAAUCAAACACCCUUGGCUGUUGGAAAAAACUAUUAAUCUUUAUAAGAAGAAAGACAUUUAUAUUUUGAUCAACAAUAUAAUUAAAUCCCACCCUUCCAUAUGCUCUACAUCCAGUCUAUUAGAAUGUGGUAUUUGCAGAAUAAUUCCUUUGCCUUUCCCAGCAAAGAAAAUCAACUAGAGAAGACAGAAUCAUAGAUUCAGCUGUAGCGCAUCAACUGAAUGCGGCUCAUGACAACCCAAAAGAUUGGUUUUGAAUCCAUGGAUACAGGUCCUUUUAAUACCUUUGCAGCACCAGUGCUGCUGGGAAUAAUGUUGAAGGAGGCAGCUCUGCCACCUCUCCAAUCCUAAUGGUUUUCUAAAUCCAUGGUAGUUGUGGUACAUGUUUAGCUGGAACCAGAAAGAUUCAGUGAUAGAACCAUCCCUACAAUUAAUUUUAUUAUUAUUAUUAUUAUUAUUAUUUUUGUGUAACUAAUCAAAAGGGAAAGCAGAAACUUUAUUGGCAUGCAGAGUAACAUGUUAGAGCCAAUUAGAGAAGCUCUCAUUUUUUAUUGGACUGAGGAAGUGUUAGAAUCCAGGUUUAUUGUCCUGAUUUUUUUCCAUGUGACUUAGGUCAAGCAUGCCUCAAGUAUGAAGAUAGGUGGGCAACUAUCUCAGCAAGAUCAUGGACAGAAUGACCUUUAGCCUUGUUCUCAAACAGAGAAAGGAAAAAAAAACAGAAAAUUAAGACAAUCCCAAUAAUGAUGUAUUAGUUAAAUUACAGUUCUGUAAGAUUAGGUAAAACUUAUAGAUUUCCUUUUGUAUAUUUAUACCCAAAGUUAAAAAGUAAACAACUUACAUUUCAUGAUAACAACAAAAAUAGAAAUAGAAGUAUCUAUUUUAAAAAAACAAAAAGAAAUUGAGCAGAGUGUAUUAAUAUGUUACUAGUGCCUUAUUUUCUAGUACAUGAUGCAGCAUGCAUAACCUGCAGCCAAUUUUCUGAAAGCAACCUGCAGCCUUAUUUUCUACCACUUUCUAUACAAUAUAUUUAGCUAGAGAUCAAGAAUCAAAUGUCAGUUGUAUUAUAGCCUCGAAUUAUGUGGGUUAGGAUUUUAAAAAAUCGAGCUCCUUAACUCACAUGGGCAAUGGUACACUCACAGGGACGCUUUAUCCCUGCCAGAGAUACUGAUCAGUAGCUAUGAGGAGAUCUUGUGCAAUAUCCAAUAUAAUUUCUACAGAUCCAGUGUAUAUAAAUCUGUACAAAAAUAGCAUGUCAGUAAAUAAGAAAAGCUCAAGUCAAUUUGGAGAUGGAGCAGUGAUGCAAACAAGAUUUAAUUUCCAUCUGAGUUGUCCAAGGCCUAAUCUGGUUCUUGGUGUUAAACCUCAUUCAGAUAGAUCAGGAAUCAUUGUCCUUCUGCAAGAUAAAGCUAGAAGUAGAAGGUCUUCAAGUUUUCAAAGAUGAUAAACUAGAUAGAAUUGAAAAGGAGAAUAAUGGAAUCAAGGUGUAAUUUUUUCUUCUCUCUAAUACAAUAAGACAACAAUAGACAAUGCUAAACAAGUUAAAAUCUUAUUUAUUCAAAGCAAGUCUUCAAGGGGCAUAUUGUUUCAAAAGAAAAAGACAAAAUUUAAUGACAUUAAUCAGAAAUCUUCCAGAGUCAAAAGCCCCCAAAUGAUGUGACAAUCAUAUUCAAGUGUAUUGAUAUUUACCCACCUCACCAACAUUGCUCAUGGCAAAGAAAAGUGUCCCUGGAACAAGGAGUGUAUCACCAAUUAGAGGUUUCAAACCUUCUAAGAGACAAAUACAAGUUUGUGUGAUAGUGGAUACUGUACUAAUAAAUAAUAAUGUAAAAUUUUCAGUAAUGAAUUAGAAAAUGCCUCAAUGACAAAACAAAGCUCUAGUUCUAGAAUUUUCAGGUGGAUUAAGUCAUACUCUAUUUUGCUGAAUUUCAUGAUAGUUAUGCACUAAUUCUUGGAAGAUAAAGGUUUUUGGCACCAUAAAAAUAUGUCGCACAUAACAGUCUAUGCAUGCUUUAGACCUUUAAGUUCAAAAGAGAGAAGAGAUCAUGGUGAUACUGUUUUUGUCCAAAGCCUAGAUUCACAAACUUCCAUUUUCAAGGUUAUCUUUCACUAAAAAUUGCUACUUAUCUGUUUCUGUUCAUUUAUUCAUGAAAAAAAUCAUUAUAAUAAUUGAAUUGAUGAAUGGUAGGAUGAGAAGGGAGAGGAUUUUUACCUUUAGCUUUGAUAGGGUUUUCUAUCAUGGAUUUGAGCAAGUUGAUGUCUAUGAAUUUCUAACCCAGCCUUGUUUUUUUUUUUUUUUUUUUUGAUAGGUAAGAAAAGUUCAUGGUAAAUCAAAAUACCAAAGAACACGAUGAAACUUCAAAAAUUCAAAACCUAGAAUUUUCUUACAGGUAGUUUUAUUUGACUUAAAAAGAUAAAAAACCAUCUGUUUUUUUAAUUACAAUUUCUGCACAACUAAACAGCACAUUAACAAACAAAUGGACUAAAAAACACAGAUCUACAAUAACCAUGAAAGAAUCAUCAUCAAAAACUAAUUCCCCAAAACAAAGAAUCAGACCCGUGGAGAGAAUAAAUUAAAAACCAAAAAAGAACAAAUCAUAAAAAAUAAAAAAAUAAAACAAAAGGACUCGGACUAAAUUUUCUAAGAACCCUAUUAUUAUUCUUGGUUUAAACCAAAACCUACGAAUUUCAUCACAAUCAUCAAGAACCCGGAUUCAUAACUCACCUGUAGGGGGGCGAAAGUCUACCGAUCCCGGCAAGCAAACUCCCAAGAACCUGAUGCAAGUCCCUCUAUCUUGCAGCAAACCUAAAGACUCAGACCUCUCGUGCUUCUUCCGUGGAGAGAAUAAAUUCAAAAUUAAAAACCAAAAAGGAACAAAUCAUAAAAAAAUUUCCAAGAACCCGACUAUUUUUCUUGGUUUAAAGCAAAACCGACAUCAUCAAGAACCUGGUGGGAUUCAACUCACCUAUAGGACAGCGCAAGUCUGCCGAUUCCGGCGAGCAAACUCCCAAGAACCCUGAUGCGAGUCCUCUAUUUUGCAGCAAACUUAAAGACUCCGACCUCUCGUGCUUCCUCUCCUCUCCUUGAAGAAGUCCUUCCGAUCCCAAGGAAGUGGUUUUGACGGCAUGAAAACCCAGUCAAUCGCAUGGGCAGCCCCCCCCCCCCCCCCCCCCUAGCUUAAUCAGCCAACCACACAACCUUGACCCAAAUCUAAGGUUUCCAAAAUCCCACAACCACAAAACCACUACGCACUAAGCUGAUUCCCCGAGCUUCCACACCAAGAUCGAACCAAAUCACACCGUGCCCUAGCCUCUCGGCCAAUAAAACUCAAAAGUCCUCCGCCUUUCACUUCCCCUUCUUUCAAGUCUAUGGCUUCCGCCGCGCCCUAGAUUCCACUUCGGGGAGACGCCACCAUAGAUGAGACACAAAAGCCUCGUCUUCCUACCUCCUCCAGUUUCUUUCACUUUCUACACUACCAGGGGAAAAAAUUUGUUUUUGUUUGGAACGAGAAGGUGAGAUCGUGACGACAAUAAGGUACAUAAAAGAGAAGAGGAGAAGAAAAGAGGUGAAAGAGAGGAAAGUCUCAAGACUAAAGAAUGAGAAUGGUAUAUCUAUAUCAGAUAAUCAGCUUCAUUUAACCAGAAUUUAUAUAAUAUUUUCAUGUCCCAAUAAUUAAUUUCAUUUGUCCUAGUUUAUUUAUUUUCAAGGCCUAUUUAGCCAUGUUUUUUUAAACUUGGACACAAGGUAAUUUUUAAAUUUUGUUUUUAAAGAUCGUUUCAAAAUUAGAGAGAAAAAGAGUCAUGACUAAGAGUAUUCUGUUUAUUUGUUUCAAAAUUUUACUCUGGUUUUCGUUAGUGUGAAAAAAAUACACCAAUUAAUAAAAAAAUAAACUGCAAAUGAGGUAAUGCAAGAACAACUUAAUACCUUGCUAGGUUAUUAAUGAAGUAUGUCUCCAAUAUGGGUAAAUAAGAGACUAGUCCAAGCGUAGGUGCCAUGACAUUAUAUCUUAUAAUGAAGUCAUGCAUUAAAACCUGACAUGAUAAUAAGUUGUCAUAUUAGCACAUGAUAGAUGAAAAUAGAAUUAAAACAUUAGUAUAAACAAUACAUGUGACUCCACCAAACCUAUUGCAAACCUUUUCAACCACAACUUCCAUAUUUCUCCAUAGGAGUUGGAUGAGUAGCAUAAAUAGCAGCAAUAACAUUAUCAGCAGCAGCAUACCAUUAUGUUUCCUGGCAGCCAAAACUGUCAAUUAAGAUUUCUAUUUAGAUACAUGACACCAUAUGCGUCAAUUGGUUAAUAGCAAUAUGGCACAUAAUGAAUAAAUAUCUACUAAGUUUUGUUACAAGAACAAUUGAAAGGACGCAUGAUACCACUUUCAAUGUAAUUUUGCAACUAAGAGACAUUUUCCUCAAGUCAAAGGUUUCAGUAGUUGGAUGAAUUGCAUAAAUAAAAUCAAUAACAUUAUCAGUAACCGCAUACCAUAAGUUAUCUGGCAGCCAAAAACCGGUGAUUAAGCUUUUCAGAAUGCCAAAUAUCAGGGUCUCAUUAUUAGACAAUAGGUUUUUCUUUCGCUCUUUAGAAAACUUGUAAGAGUAAUGCAUCCGAUUCAAGCAUGCAGUUCAAGCAACCUUGGAGUUGUUGAAACCAAUAUUAGACCCCAGAAUGAGGACAAUAUUGAGAAGCAAAAAAGUAUAGGUUUUAAAAGCAAUCCAAUGUGAGGCUACCCAAUCAAGGAUCAGUACAUUAUCAACAGAUCGUAAGUAACUCGAGAUGGAGAAUCCACCUUUGGAAGAACGCUCAGAUUGGGCCUAGGACUCUCCCCAAGAUUUAAUUUACAAGAUAGUGUGAGACUAGAGAAACCUUUGAUUAAUGAACAUACAUGAUCAAACACGUCUUACUCUUCGAGACAGAAAAGCACUUUCCAAGAGAGAUCAAAUAAUACAUCUAUUUGCAUAAGAAGAAAAAAAGAUUAAAAUCCUUUAAAAAAAAAAUGGUUAAAAUAUACAAAAUAACUAAUGUCAAUAUCUUUACUUAGAAAAAUGACUAAUGAGAAUAAAAUAGAUAUUUGAAUCUAACUUGGAAAGUGAAAACUUAACUCAAAUACAUAGAAUGGUUGAAUUUGAUGCACAAGAGAGAGUUUGUUCACCAGGUAUCAAAUAAAAAUUAUUAAAAAAUAAUAUAAAAAAAAACAAUGGAUUACUCAAAUGUUCAAUUGAUUGUUAAUUUUAAUUUUUUAUUUUUGCUUUUCUUCCCAUUUCUCACAGUUGAGAAUAUUUGAGGGUUUUAUCAAUUGUUGAUGGGAAAAAACACCAUUGAUAAGAAAACUGAAUAUAAAUCAUGAACCAAAAGAUUUACCCCACUUGUUUAGAUGCCAUGAAUAUGUAGGAUAAUAAAAGAAAACAAACUUUUCUUGAUAUAUAUGGUAACAAACACAUUCUCCACGGCUUCAUAAGUGGACUAGUCCUGAGAAAAUACAGGACAACCUGUGUUGGCUAAAAUCAACUUUGCAAAUCUAUCAACGAGCUCCACAAGAAAGCAACGUCUGAUAUUUAUAGCCCCAACUUUGUCCUUCACAUAGUCUUUUCGGUUUGUCCUUCCAACCUCUAUGAUAGGAGAACCAACCAAACUACCAACAACACAUGAUUGCACCAUAUAGUGGUAUUUGGUAGCACAUGUCCCCAUUAAAUCACAGAGAGCAUCUUUUGUCUUUCAAUCUUUUAACGGUAUUGUGUUCUUAACCAUAGUGUACAAGAGAUGUAAAUUAAACCUACAAAGAUAAACAUGCAAAAUAAAAUUAAAAUAAAUCCAACUACUCACCCAACUUGAUUUACAACAAAAAAUAAGUAAUUUCCAUAUGGUCUCAUGGAGUUGAGUAUCUAACCCCUCUGUUGUUUCCAAUUCCAAGAGUGUAUAGGUUGUUUCUUCCUACAACUAGUACUGCCUAAAUCCAUUACAAGAACACUUUCAUAAAUUAGUAGCAACUUCCCAAUAUGACACACAUGCACAUACUUAUCAAAUAAAUAAAUAAAUAAGACACACAUGCACAUAAAAUGGAAGAGUACCUUAGGGUUGUUGUUGGGAAAAAAAAAGUAUAGAUUUUAAAAGCAUUUCGAUGCAAGGCCACCUGAUCAAGAAUUAGUACAUCAUCAACAUGAUUGUCAGAAACUCAAAAAAGAGAAUUCAGAUUUGGAAGAACACUGAGAUUGGACCUAAGACUAUACAACAUCUACUUUACAUUUUACAAGAAAGGGUAAGACUAGAGAAGCCAUUGAUUAUGGAAUACACAUCAAAUGCAUCUUGCUCUUCAACAUAGAAAAACACUGCAUCAAAGAUAUUAAAUGAUACUCAUACAAGUUUGAGUAAGAAGAAAAACAUAUUAAAACCACAAAAUAUGGUUAAUAUGUACAAAAAAUGUGACGACCCACCCUUGCAGGCGCCAUCCACGCAAGACAGUGUCUCUUCCCUAGUCUGAAGACUAAGAUGUAGAUACUAUCCUAUGAAAGAAAAUUAACUUGUGACAAGAUAUACUGUGUCAAAGCAAUACAAGGAUGCAUAUUUAAGGAACCAUAAAUUCAUUACUAUGUCCGAGAUAAACAGUUUUGCAUACAUAAAAGCUGGUCUUAAGGGAUCGAAAACUUGUACAUACCUAAGAAAAUGGCUACAUGCCAGUAGUCUAUCCAAAAAGAAGCAAAGGAAAAGGCAACAACAUUUAUAUGCCUUGUUGACCAUCCUCCAGAACUUGCUUGGUAUUUGGUUCUACUAGGUCCUCGUCUAAAAAAUUUAAGGAACUACAAAGUGAAUAACUCAGUGAAUGAUCAUAUAAUACAGGUUGUAGGAUGGUCAGUCCAAAGUAGAAAGAGGAGUUUUAUCAUGUAGGUAACAUUCAACGUAGAUAAUAUAUGGUAUAACAAUCAAGUAGACAUGCAACAUUGGACGACCCUAUGUCUAAUCAAUCAAACACAUGCAUAAUCCAUGGCUACAAUGCCACUCCAACUCUCGGCACAUAUGCAAUAUAACUGCUACAAUGCCCUUUCCUCCAUCAACAUGUAUCAAAUAUGCAACCGCAUGCGACAUAUGUCUCAAAUAUCAUGGUGCCUUAUAGACACAGUAUCCCUACAUCUCUCAACACACUUCUCAUACAAACUGCUCUAGUGCCCCUUUAUCUCUUGGCAUAAAAGAUUACUAGGUUAAUUGGCUACAGUGCGCCACUCCAUUUGUACGGCACGAUAUAGGUCUAGGGUAAAUUACAAUUGCAUCCAUAGUAAUAAUGUAAAAUACCAUAAUGACAACACCAAUGAUUUUUAGUGAAUGGUACGUUAAUAUGAAAUAUAUUUCCUUCAUCUAACAUCUACAAAAGAAUAGCAUAUAUGCAUAUAAAAAUAUCCAACACUCCAAUUCACAAAAUAACAUAUGUUCCCAAAAGCAUAAUAAAAUAUUAAAAUUCAAAGGAAAUUUAAAUUUCAAAAAUAGUGGGAAAAAAAAAAACUAUUUUCACCUUAUAAAUGAAUUUUUUUGAAUUUUAAGAAAAAAUCUAGUCUAAACUUCCAAAAUCAAGGCCAAUGUCAGGCUAAAAGCUUUUAGCUCAAUACCUCCAUCAUGAAGGAUGAGAUUACUUACCACACAUUCAAAUGUCAAGGUUUGUAAAUUCCAUGUGGAGUUUAAACAGAAUCUUCAAAUAAUGUGAGGAACAUAGACAUAGCUAUGAGAAGUGAAGAGGGAGAGCCACACCUCUUGCAUCAAACCAAAAUUUCUACAAAGCAUCGACAACAAAGGUGCACAGUGGCCAAUCAAGCUCUUCUCCACAGAAACACCAUAAACAAUUUCAAUCUCUGCCCUUUAGGAAACAAAAUCAAUUAUUGCAUCUUAAGAAACAUCAAGACCAAACUCAGCAUAAAAACCAUUCUCCUACAAAGCACCAUCAAAGAGAGUGGAAUCAGUCAGAACAAGUAAAAAACCACAGAUCUUAUAUUUAAUUAUAAUAAGCCUCACAUGUGUAACCUAUGUAAUAAAUAUCUAAAUGUUCAUCUAACUAGACAAUGUGAUUUUCUCAAUCAUCUAUUGUAAGAAUUUUCAUAGUUUUUCGAUUAGAUGAUAUGGAAUAAUCUGAUAACAAUACUUGAGGACAAUAGAUGAUACCAUUCUCUUGCAAGACACCAUCAAAGGGACCAAGAUCAUCAAAAGAGGUUCUAGUAAAGAAAAAUUGAAAUGAUUAAAUGCUUUCAUACUCAAUAAUUCAAACCUUGAUAUCAUACUCAAUUUUCUCAAUGUAUUAAAGAAAUGAAAAAUAAUUCCAACCUUGUAUCUCAGUUUUUCUAAAACACUUGUUCUAAUGCAUGAAAUGAUUUUAAUUCAAUGCCUACAUCAUGAAGAAUGAGAUUAUUUACCACACUUUUAAAUGCCAAGUUUCACAAAUUCCAUGCGACAUUUAAAUAGAAUCUUCAAAGAGUGUGAGGAACAAAGACAAGCUGUGAGAAGUGAGAGUUGAAACAACAUUAGCUUGAUCUAUAAUAAAAGUGUGUCUGAAAACUUUCAGUCUAGGCACAGUAAGGUCCAGCCUUGAUCUACUAGUUUGUAGAUAAGGAUCAAGCUAUAAUUUGGUAUUAGUUUCUGGAAAGAAGUAGAGAAAAUCAACAGCAUCAACUUGAUAAAGUUUACGUAUACCUUAAUAUGUGUAUACCUACUGUCUCUCUUUGAUCAAUAAAAUAAUCACACCCCGCCAUAUUAAGGAUAUAUAAAAUGUACAUAGGAAGCUCAUACAAUGGAAACAACCCUCCUACAAAAUAAUUAAAUCAGAUCAAUUCCUAUCUGACAUGCAAAAACUGAAAAACAUAAAAUUUAUAUAUAUAAAGUAAACUCCGAGCUCUAUAAUUUUUCUGCACAACACACAAAAGUUUCCCCCAAAAUUAGUUUCAACUGCUCCAACAUUUCCCUUUUUGGAAACAAAAAUGUUUCUGGCAAAACCAUUUCAUUUAUAAUACCCAACAAGCUAUAAAUAUGAAAUAACUUGAAAAUAAUGUCUGAUGCUAGGUUUUGAUUUGUCUUCUUCCAAGGGCAUGUGCUCAAAAUCCUUUUAAUCAAAUAUUUCAUUUUGGUAAUAUCUAUCCCAAAAAACCUGUUUACUGGAAGAGGAAGGCUUCUUUAUUCAACUAGUUGCUGCACAUAAUACAUCUUUUGGUGCAGAGUUUAUGCUUCUUACCUCUGAUUGUCCAAGAAAUUUGUCCUCCAACGUUUGAGUGUCUGGUGAUAAUGUAUUCUUAUGUUUUCCAGAUGCUCCACACUGCAUUUACACAACUCUCUUAGAUUAAUUUUUUCAGAAAGCGGAAGAAAGUUGAUUAAUUCCAAAUCAUUGUAUUAGCUUUUACCAGUGUCUUGAUGCAACAGUAUGGCCAUUGUUACUCUAAUCAAUGAAGGAAAACAUCCACCAAGGAAAAUGAAUUCCUUUAUAAAAUUUAAGUUUCUUUUGUACUCAUCGUGCCUUUCAACUGGGAUUGAUAUGAAUUAAGGAAAAAAGAAAAAUAAAACACCCUUGGUUGUUGGAAAAAAAUAUUAAUCUUUAUAAGAAGAAAGACAUUUAUAUUUUGAUCAACAAUAUAAUUAAAUCCCACCCUUCCAUAUGCUCUACAUCCAUUCUAUUAGAAUGUGGUAUUUGCAGAAUAAUUCCUUUGCCUUUCCCAGCAAAGAAAAUCAACUAGAGAAGACAGAAUCAUAGAUUCGGCUGUAAUGCAUCAAUUGAAUAUGGCUUAUGACAACCCAAAAGAUUGGUUUUGAAUCCAUGGAUACAGGUCCUUUUAAUACUUUUGCAGCACCAGUGCUGCUGGGAAUAAUGUUGAAGGAGGCAGCUCUGCCACCUCUCCAAUCCUAAUGGUUUCCUAAAUCCAUGGUAGUUGUGGUACGUGUUUAGCAGGAACCAGAAAGAUUCAAUGAUAGAACCAUCCCUACAAUUAAU